GCCUCUGUAUGAGGCCCCAAAGUGAGAAAAUUCUGUCACCUCUCUCACUUAUUUGCUCCACUUUUCAGCGAAUGUGUGCUCAAACAGGUGAGUCAUGAGA
Long non-coding RNA from Melanotaenia boesemani (Boeseman's rainbowfish), 100 nucleotides. RefSeq lists it as uncharacterized. The record is from RefSeq and is a predicted model, not a curated record. NCBI's taxonomy places the organism in Eukaryota, Metazoa, Chordata, Actinopteri, Atheriniformes, Melanotaeniidae. The transcript is spliced from 3 exons.